RNAcentral lists this transfer RNA (63 nucleotides) under Geisha distinctissima. RNAcentral's name for it is "tRNA-Ile". Lineage: Eukaryota; Metazoa; Arthropoda; Insecta; Hemiptera; Flatidae. The record is from RNAcentral.
AAUAAGAUGCCUGAAAAAAAGGAUUAUCUUGAUGUGAUAAAUAAUGUUUAAAUACUCUUAUUA